RNAcentral lists this transfer RNA (71 nucleotides) under Enterocytozoon bieneusi H348. Its description in RNAcentral is "tRNA-Gly (GCC) (tRNA-Gly-GCC-1-1)". It matches the Rfam family "tRNA". From Rfam's summary of the family: Transfer RNA (tRNA) molecules are approximately 80 nucleotides in length. Lineage: Eukaryota; Fungi; Microsporidia; Enterocytozoonidae. The record is from Rfam by way of RNAcentral.
GCGCCUUUGGUUUAGUGGUAUAAUAGUGGGUUGCCAUCCUGCAGACCCGGGUUCGAUUCCCGGAAGGCGCA